UGGGGAAUAUUGCACAAUGGAGGGAACUCUGAUGCAGCGACGCCGCGUGAGUGAUGAAGGAAUUCGUUUCGUAAAACUCUGUUCUAUGGGAAGAAAAGGACUGUACCAUAGGAGAAAGCUCCGGCUAAAUACGUGCCAGCAGCCGCGGUAAUACGUAUGGAGCGAGCGUUGUCCGGAAUUAUUGGGCGUAAAGGGUGCGCAGGCGGCUUUACAAGUUGGAUGUGAAAUAUUGUGGCUCAACCACAAACGUGCAUCCAAAACUGCAAAGCUUGAGUUAAGGAGAGGUAAGUGGAAUUCAUGGUGUAGCGGUGGAAUGCGUAGAUAUCAGGAGGAAUACCGGUGGCGAAGGCGACUUACUGGACUUAAACUGACGCUCAGGCACGAAAGCGUGGGGAGCAAACAGG
RNAcentral lists this ribosomal RNA (404 nucleotides) under Fusobacteriota bacterium. RNAcentral's name for it is "Fusobacteria bacterium partial 16S ribosomal RNA". It matches the Rfam family "Bacterial small subunit ribosomal RNA", at positions 355 to 776 of the family's 1533-position model. The record is from RNAcentral. Lineage: Bacteria; Fusobacteriati; Fusobacteriota.